GGUGUAGCUCAGUGGUAGAGUGCUUGCCUAGCAUGCACACAAGCCUGGGUUUGAUCCCCAGCACC
This 65-nucleotide transfer RNA is filed under the name Ictidomys tridecemlineatus (thirteen-lined ground squirrel). RNAcentral's name for it is "Spermophilus tridecemlineatus (thirteen-lined ground squirrel) tRNA". It matches the Rfam family "tRNA". Rfam says of the family: Transfer RNA (tRNA) molecules are approximately 80 nucleotides in length. The record is from Rfam by way of RNAcentral. Lineage: Eukaryota; Metazoa; Chordata; Mammalia; Rodentia; Sciuridae.